Molecule: ribosomal RNA, 1414 nt
Filed under: Salmonella enterica
Lineage: Bacteria; Pseudomonadati; Pseudomonadota; Gammaproteobacteria; Enterobacterales; Enterobacteriaceae
Description: partial 23S ribosomal RNA
Rfam family: Bacterial large subunit ribosomal RNA
Source: RNAcentral
AAGGCGUAGUCGAUGGGAAACGGGUUAAUAUUCCCGUACUUGGUGUUACUGCGAAGGGGGGACGGAGAAGGCUAUGUUGGCCGGGCGACGGUUGUCCCGGUUUAAGCGUGUAGGUGUGUGUUCCAGGUAAAUCCGGUUCACUUUAACACUGAGGCGUGACGACGAGGCACUACGGUGCUGAAGCAACAAAUGCCCUGCUUCCAGGAAAAGCCUCUAAGCAUCAGGUAACAUCAAAUCGUACCCCAAACCGACACAGGUGGUCAGGUAGAGAAUACCAAGGCGCUUGAGAGAACUCGGGUGAAGGAACUAGGCAAAAUGGUGCCGUAACUUCGGGAGAAGGCACGCUGACACGUAGGUGAAGUGAUUUACUCAUGGAGCUGAAGUCAGUCGAAGAUACCAGCUGGCUGCAACUGUUUAUUAAAAACACAGCACUGUGCAAACACGAAAGUGGACGUAUACGGUGUGACGCCUGCCCGGUGCCGGAAGGUUAAUUGAUGGGGUCAGCGCAAGCGAAGCUCCUGAUCGAAGCCCCGGUAAACGGCGGCCGUAACUAUAACGGUCCUAAGGUAGCGAAAUUCCUUGUCGGGUAAGUUCCGACCUGCACGAAUGGCGUAAUGAUGGCCAGGCUGUCUCCACCCGAGACUCAGUGAAAUUGAACUCGCUGUGAAGAUGCAGUGUACCCGCGGCAAGACGGAAAGACCCCGUGAACCUUUACUAUAGCUUGACACUGAACAUUGAGCCUUGAUGUGUAGGAUAGGUGGGAGGCUUUGAAGUGUGGACGCCAGUCUGCAUGGAGCCGACCUUGAAAUACCACCCUUUAAUGUUUGAUGUUCUAACGUGGACCCGUUACCCGGGUUGCGGACAGUGUCUGGUGGGUAGUUUGACUGGGGCGGUCUCCUCCUAAAGAGUAACGGAGGAGCACGAAGGUUGGCUAAUCCUGGUCGGACAUCAGGAGGUUAGUGCAAUGGCAUAAGCCAGCUUGACUGCGAGCGUGACGGCGCGAGCAGGUGCGAAAGCAGGUCAUAGUGAUCCGGUGGUUCUGAAUGGAAGGGCCAUCGCUCAACGGAUAAAAGGUACUCCGGGGAUAACAGGCUGAUACCGCCCAAGAGUUCAUAUCGACGGCGGUGUUUGGCACCUCGAUGUCGGCUCAUCACAUCCUGGGGCUGAAGUAGGUCCCAAGGGUAUGGCUGUUCGCCAUUUAAAGUGGUACGCGAGCUGGGUUUAGAACGUCGUGAGACAGUUCGGUCCCUAUCUGCCGUGGGCGCUGGAGAACUGAGGGGGGCUGCUCCUAGUACGAGAGGACCGGAGUGGACGCAUCACUGGUGUUCGGGUUGUCAUGCCAAUGGCACUGCCCGGUAGCUAAAUGCGGAAGAGAUAAGUGCUGAAAGCAUCUAAGCACGAAACUUGCCCCGAG